RNAcentral lists this ribosomal RNA (434 nucleotides) under uncultured bacterium. Its description in RNAcentral is "bacterial SSU rRNA". It matches the Rfam family "Bacterial small subunit ribosomal RNA", at positions 958 to 1392 of the family's 1533-position model. The record is from RNAcentral.
AACGCGAAGAACCUUACCUACUCUUGACAUCCAGCGAACUUAGCAGAGAUGCUUUGGUGCCUUCGGGAACGCUGAGACAGGUGCUGCAUGGCUGUCGUCAGCUCGUGUUGUGAAAUGUUGGGUUAAGUCCCGCAACGAGCGCAACCCUUAUCCUUUGUUGCCAGCGAUUCGGUCGGGAACUCAAAGGAGACUGCCGGUGAUAAACCGGAGGAAGGUGGGGAUGACGUCAAGUCAUCAUGGCCCUUACGAGUAGGGCUACACACGUGCUACAAUGGCGCAUACAAAGAGAAGCGACCUCGCGAGAGCAAGCGGACCUCACAAAGUGCGUCGUAGUCCGGAUCGGAGUCUGCAACUCGACUCCGUGAAGUCGGAAUCGCUAGUAAUCGUGGAUCAGAAUGCCACGGUGAAUACGUUCCCGGGCCUUGUACACACCG